ACGCAUCACUGGUGUUCGGGUUGUCAUGCCAAUGGCACUGCCCGGUAGCUAAAUGCGGAAGAGAUAAGUGCUGAAAGCAUCUAAGCACGAAACUUGCCCGAGAUGAGUUCUCCCUGAGACUUUAAGUCUCCUGAAGGAACGUUAGAAGACGACGACGUUGAUAGGCCGGGUGUGUAAGCGCAGCGAUGCGUUGAGCUAACCGGUACUAAUGAACCGUGAGGCUUAACCUUACAACGCCGAAG
RNAcentral lists this ribosomal RNA (242 nucleotides) under Klebsiella pneumoniae. RNAcentral's name for it is "partial 23S ribosomal RNA". It matches the Rfam family "Bacterial large subunit ribosomal RNA", at positions 2701 to 2925 of the family's 2925-position model. The record is from RNAcentral. Lineage: Bacteria; Pseudomonadati; Pseudomonadota; Gammaproteobacteria; Enterobacterales; Enterobacteriaceae.